UGGGGGAUAUUGCACAAUGGGCGAAAGCCUGAUGCAGCGACGCCGCGUGGGGGAUGAAGGCCUUCGGGUUGUAAACUUCUUUUGCUCUGAACAAGGCGCACCAUGGGGUGUGUUGAGUGUAGGGGUUGAUUAGCGCCGGCUAACUACGUGCCAGCAGCCGCGGUAAUACGUAGGGCGCGAGCGUUGUCCGGAAUUAUUGGGCGUAAAGGGCUUGUAGGUGGCUGGUUGCGUCUGUCGUGAAAGCUCAUGGCUUAACUGUGGGUUUGCGGUGGGUACGGGCUGGCUUGAGUGCAGUAGGGGAAGCUGGAAUUCCUGGUGUAGCGGUGGAAUGCGCAGAUAUCAGGAGGAAUACCGGUGGCGAAGGCGGGUCUCUGGGCUGUCACUGACACUGAGGAGCGAAAGCAUGGGGAGCGAACAGG
Molecule: ribosomal RNA, 419 nt
Filed under: bacterium
Lineage: Bacteria
Description: partial 16S ribosomal RNA
Rfam family: Bacterial small subunit ribosomal RNA
Source: RNAcentral